This is a long non-coding RNA of Macaca fascicularis (crab-eating macaque), 2194 nucleotides long. The record is from Ensembl. NCBI's taxonomy places the organism in Eukaryota, Metazoa, Chordata, Mammalia, Primates, Cercopithecidae.
GAUGCUUACACAACCUCUUUGUGAAGCCACUUCUGGGCUUAACUUCAUUCAUCAAUUUAUUUUUACGUCAAAGCAAUGAAACGCUUCUUUGUGGAGCCAGAUACCAGUAUAACAGGUGAAUGGGUUUCUGCCACAUCUCCACAUUACUGGGGGGGAUGCUUGAACCACCUCCCUAGGACACACACCUUUAAGGCACAAGGGCUGGGGUUGAGCUCUAGAUAAGGGACUUUCCUGCUCCUGCAAGGGUGAGCACUGUAUACACAGACAAGGAGGGCGCAGCAGAGUGGCUCCCUCGGGUGGAAGUAGUACCAUCAGAAGCUCCUGUUAUUAUGAGAUACAUUCUAUUGAUGUACAUUGAGAGAAUACCACAAUCAACACUUUUACCUGGGAUGACUUUAAGAGGUUUGAGCCAAAGUACCUGAAGUGGCAAAGAUCCGUGGUCUUUGUGGGGUAUCAGAGAAGCGUUCCAGGCACUCUGGAUCUUGCAGCUGAGUGGAUGAAGGGUAAACACAUCUGCGGAGCACCGAGAGGAGUCAGAGUUAGCAUUUUUCAUGAAAAUUCUCCCACAUCUCUACUAAGAAUGAGGAGGAAAAGAUGAAGACUAAGUAAUUACACUGAGGUUUGAAAUGUUACGUCACCAGAGCCAAGUCCUCUCCCUUCAGAUAGGUUACUGGCUGCUACACAGGGACACCCCCACCUUUUCAGGGCAUCCCAUGCACCCCAGUUCUCAGAAUCUAAGGAAUUUGACUUUGUAGGGAUCCCAGAAAGGGCACCGUGCCACUUCCCCUGGUGUGAAUCAGACAUACAUUGUACAUUCAUUUCUAAAAUUCACUCAUGCACCUCAAACCAAGGUCAUUAUCAAAAAGCUCUGGGUGGAAGAGCUUGUAGGUUUUUUAAGAGUGGGUCAUUUCUAUGUGAGGAAAUGCAGAAAUGGACAGAAUGAUUCUUAUUCACUGUUUGGGUCUGGAGAAUUCCCGUUAUGGAAUUCUUAGAGAUCUCAAGUUUAUUACCAAGGGAAUUAGGAAAAAGAAGUGAGCAGGCACCAGGCCAAGCAGUGACUCCCUUGCCAAGGAACCUGAGGCUGCAGGAUUCAGGGACCUCCUUGAGGAAACCUCUCCUGGCCACUGGCCAGGAGAAAAGAGAAGGUUCUAUAGAGUGAAAAGAAGCAAAAGAGAGUGGGUCACUGGGUCCUGUACAUAGCACCCAACCCCAAGACUUCCCAACAUGGAGAAACUAUACCAGUGUUUAAAAGGGGGAAAGGAAAGAACUUGCACAUCAAGGGAAGACGAUUUGUAAACACACAGUCCUGUGCAAAAAGAUCUCCUUCAGGAGGUGUCUCCAGCAUCCCAAAGCUGUGCGCACCUCCUCUUUUCCUGCUCAGGCCACCUAUGCAUCCAGCUGCAGCCCAUCCCCACACCUGAAAUCCAUCUCUUGAAUCCCAGCCAGAUUAUAUACCACCCCAUUUCCAUGUCCUGUCCUGCCCAGAAUGCAUGCUGUUCUCCCAGAGCCUGAUGGGAAUGAGGCCUUGCAAUGAGGCCAUGGGAAACAGAGAUGAGCAUGUCUGGACAAGUCUGUGAUGGUAGUGGAUGAGAAUAACCCAUGGCAAAACACACACGCUCAUUAAGAAAUAGGGUGACAGAUUCCCCAUUGGUGAAGCACUGAAAGGUCUAUUACUCUCAUAACAUUGCUGUUUCAUUUUAAUCCACCAGAGCUACCAUGCAAAACUUUCCUCCAGUGAAAGGCUCCAGAUAAAGCUCCCCUCUCCUCGUGUCCUCCUGCUCAGACCCACCUUCAUCCGCCAAACCAAUCUGUAUCAUGCCUGUUAUCAGAGAGGCACAGAAAGAUGGGCACUGCCUCCAUUGUCACUGUUCCCCACACCCCUACACACCCCCACAUCCUCCCCUCCAGGCUCCACGACUUCACAGUCUUACUGUUGUAAAUAUCAUUGUACAGUUUGUAAUCCUCAAAUAAUCCCAUUGUCAGAGGCCUCGCCUGAUGGCCUUCUCACCCUCGAGAAAGGCCAGGGAACCUGGAAGGGGCAACCCUUCAAGGAGAGCUUCAGGGUCACCUCUGUGUGAGACACUAUUGUAUAUUCCUGUAAGAUUGCAUUUUUAUCUAAGGAAUGAUGUUAUUUAAAAAACAAACAAAAAACACAAAAAAUAAGAAUUGCAAAUAAAUUUCUUAACAAUGUCUA